Molecule: ribosomal RNA, 497 nt
Filed under: uncultured bacterium
Lineage: Bacteria
Description: partial 16S ribosomal RNA
Rfam family: Bacterial small subunit ribosomal RNA
Source: RNAcentral
GAUGAACGCUGGCGGCGUGCCUAAUACAUGCAAGUCGAGCGAACGGACGAGAAGCUUGCUUCUCUGAUGUUAGCGGCGGACGGGUGAGUAACACGUGGAUAACCUACCUAUAAGACUGGGAUAACUUCGGGAAACCGGAGCUAAUACCGGAUGAUAUUUUGAACCGCAUGGUUCAAAAGUGAAAGACGGUCUUGCUGUCACUUAUAGAUGGAUCCGCGCUGCAUUAGCUAGUUGGUAAGGUAACGGCUUACCAAGGCAACGAUGCAUAGCCGACCUGAGAGGGUGAUCGGCCACACUGGAACUGAGACACGGUCCAGACUCCUGCGGGAGGCAGCAGUAGGGAAUCUUCCGCAAUGGGCGAAAGCCUGACGGAGCAACGCCGCGUGAGUGAUGAAGGUCUUCGGAUCGUAAAACUCUGUUAUUAGGGAAGAACAUAUGUGUAAGGAACUGUGCACAUCUUGACGGUACCUAAUCAGAAAGCCACGGCUAACUACGUG